RNAcentral lists this long non-coding RNA (801 nucleotides) under Equus caballus (horse). Its description in RNAcentral is "lncRNA (ENSECAG00000038040.3)". The record is from RNAcentral. Lineage: Eukaryota; Metazoa; Chordata; Mammalia; Perissodactyla; Equidae.
AGAAGCCUGUUCUACCUAAGAGAGAGAACUGGACAAAAAUGCUGAACAGAUUGAUGGUUCACACUCUGUUUCAAAUAUAGAAAAUUAUCUAGAUGAAUGGAGUAAUUUCUCCUUAAGAAGAAAAUCCUCAGAAUUUCCAGGUCAUUUUACAAGUGGAGAAUAGACUGAAGAGAAUCAAGCAUGGAAGCAAGUAACCUCCCUGGAAAUUUACUGCGAUGCACUAGGUUGCUGAUCUGAGUGUUGAAGUAUCUACAGGGACAAGGAACGAGAACCAUACCAACACUUGGUGUUGCUGAGUACAAGACUAGCUGACUAUAGAGACUAGACUGGCUCAAAAAUGUGACUUGCUGGAAACUUGCCUGAGACAAUAGGAGUCAAUCAUCUUUCAAGUUCAAAGGAGGCCCUGGAACAGAGUCAAUCUGACUCCAGGGUGAAAAUCAGCUAUUUUCUUGUUACUAGACCGUGAGCUCUAAUUAAACUCUGACUUCAGGAGAAAAAUAUAGCUGGUCAAUUCAAUUAAAAAAUGCAUAAAGGUAGCUAUAUCACACUGCAAGAUGUAACCUGCUUGUCUGGAAUUUUCAUUAUUAAUUGGUUGACUUCACAAUUAUAUAGAGAAACAAAACUUCUGAUUUUUAAAAAAUUCCUGAAAGUUCAAAAUACUGGCUUGAGACUGGUUAUAUGCUUUUUAAGCAUUAUAUUUUCAGCAGCUGGUGUGUGCAUGAUUAAAAAGAUGGAGGUGGUGUGUUUUAUUUUAGACAACAUCUCAAACUCUUCCUGAAAAACUUUUCUGUUGAUAUCUGG